This 305-nucleotide ribosomal RNA is filed under the name uncultured bacterium. RNAcentral's name for it is "bacterial SSU rRNA". It matches the Rfam family "Bacterial small subunit ribosomal RNA", at positions 338 to 640 of the family's 1533-position model. The record is from RNAcentral.
CCUACGGGGCGCAGCAGUGAGGAAUAUUGGUCAAUGGGCUUACGCCUGAACCAGCCAAGUCGCGGGAGGGAAGACUGCCCUAUGGGUUGUAAACCUCUUUUGUCAGGGAGCAACGCCGGCUACGUGUAGCCGGACUGAGAGUACCUGAAGAAAAAGCAUCGGCUAACUCCGUGCCAGCAGCCGCGGUAAUACGUAGGGGGCGAGCGUUAUCCGGAUUCAUUGGGCGUAAAGCGCGCGUAGGCGGCCUGUUAGGUCGGGGGUCAAAUACCGGGGCUCAACCCCGGUCCGCCCCCGAUACCGGCAGG